AGCAGCCGCGGUAAUUCCAGCUCCAAUAGCGUAUAUUAAAGUUGUUGCAGUUAAAAAGCUCGUAGUUGAAUUUCGGAAUCAAUAUGUCGGUCGUGCCUUGGUACGUACUGGUAUCAUUGGUUUCUCCUUUCUGACGAACCAUGAUGUCAUUAAUUUGGUGUUAUGGGAAGUUAGGACUGCUACUUUGAAAAAAUUAGAGUGUUUAAAGCAGGCUUUGGCUUGAAUACAUUAGCAUGGAAUAAUGAAAUAGGACGUUCGAACCUAUUUUGUUGGUUUCUAGGAUCAACGUAAUGAUUAAUAGGGAUAGUUGGGGGCAUUAGUAUUCAAUUGUCAGAGGUGAAAUUCUUGGAUUUAUUGAAGACUAACUACUGCGAAAGCAUUUGCCAAGGAUGUUUUCAUUAAUCAAGAACGAAAGUUAGGGGAUCGAAGACGAUCAGAUACCGUCGUAGUCUUAACCAUAAACUAUGCCGACUAGGGAUCGGAUGAUGUUAAUUUUUAANGACUCAUUCGGCGCCUUACG
RNAcentral lists this ribosomal RNA (520 nucleotides) under uncultured Glomus. RNAcentral's name for it is "SSU rRNA". It matches the Rfam family "Eukaryotic small subunit ribosomal RNA", at positions 569 to 1092 of the family's 1831-position model. The record is from RNAcentral. Lineage: Eukaryota; Fungi; Glomeromycota; Glomeromycetes; Glomerales; Glomeraceae.